Molecule: unclassified non-coding RNA, 1138 nt
Filed under: Amphibalanus amphitrite
Lineage: Eukaryota; Metazoa; Arthropoda; Thecostraca; Balanomorpha; Balanidae
Description: variant surface antigen E-like, transcript variant X3
Source: RNAcentral
ACAGGUUUCUCAUCAAAGGUGAGGCGUUAUUCGUGUAAUAUGUAAAUAUUUGGAUUGUUCUUGUUAAUUAUAACCUUAAGUUUUAUCUUAGUAGUGGUUAUUUUGAAGCUUUUUUAUACGGUCUUUCUUGAUUUUAAUUGAUUGGGUCUCCAGCCAGACCGAAAUGCCUGCCUGUGGAGGAGCUCGCCAACGAAGAGAGGAAAACAAGCUGGAACUUUUCCGGUUCCUAGCUCAGAAUAAGUCGCCAAGCGAAACAAAUUGAGGUCGACUGGUACUGGUGGCGAGUCGGGCGGUUUGACCGACCUGGACGAGGUUGCUUUAAGCCUCGACGAUGGGACUUACGACUUCGUCGUCCCUGGCGCGCUGAGCAGCAUCGCUCCCCGGCCGCAGGAAGAGAGUGCUGGAGGUGAUGCCCGCGGCAGCGAAGCGGCGGUGUCGGAAGCGACCUGGCUGGGCACCGGGUCGGACAGCGUGGCCGGGGCUUCUCCGUUUCAUCCUUCCUGUGUGUCACCUAUGUCGAUCACCUCACUACUUGAUGAGCCUUCCACAUCCCUACUCUCUCAGCCAUCUCAGUCCACCACCUCUCUCCCAUCGCAGCCCACCGCCUCCCAGCCUACCGCCUCCCUCCCUUCCCAGCCUUACGCCUCCCAACCUACGGCCCCGCAUCCCUCCCAGCCUACCGCCUCCCUCACCUCCCAGCCCACCGCCUCCAUCGCUUCCCAGCCUACGGCCCCGCAUUCCUCCCAGCCUACCGCCUCCCAGCCCACCGCCGCAGCGAGGGCCGCCCGCAGUCUUCGCGACACCCUGUCCGACCGCACCGUCACGACACGGACCCUUGAGUCGUUCGUAGCUGAACGCAGGGAAGUGAGCGAGCGUCGCAGACUUUUACUAGCUGCACCGCUCGACUGCCUCCUGACAGAGGAGCUCACCGAGGUGGCCGAACAUUACAGGGCGAUCACCUACAAGAACAUGUCGCUGCUCUGAUUACGCUGUCUGCGACGCUCGCUCACGCCCACGCGUAACUCUUUCGCUGUUCUAUUAACUCGCUGAAGCUGUUUUUUUUUGUGCUGGCCACUGCAAAUGUUGUUGGCUUAAAAUGAAUAUGAUGUUUUCUGGUAAACAAGCGAUUUCUAUUUGA